AGUAACUGCGAGUGAAGCGGGAAAAGCUCAAAUUUAAAAUCUGGCGGUCUUUGGCCGUCCGAGUUGUAGUCUGGAGAAGUGCUUUCCGCGCUGGACCGUGUAUAAGUCUCUUGGAACAGAGCGUCAUAGAGGGUGAGAAUCCCGUCUUUGACACGGACUACCAGUGCUUUGUGAUGCGCUCUCAAAGAGUCGAGUUGUUUGGGAAUGCAGCUCAAAAUGGGUGGUGAAUUCCAUCUAAAGCUAAAUAUUGGCGAGAGACCGAUAGCGAACAAGUACCGUGAGGGAAAGAUGAAAAGCACUUUGGAAAGAGAGUUAAACAGUACGUGAAAUUGCUGAAAGGGAAACGCUUGAAGUCAGUCGCGUUGUCCGGAACUCAGCCUUGCUUUUGCUUGGUGCACUUUCCGGAUGACGGGUCAGCAUCGAUUUUGACCGUCGGAAAAGGGCUGGAGUAAUGUGGCACCUCCGGGUGUGUUAUAGACUCUGGUCGCAUACGGCGGUUGGGAUCGAGGAACGCAGCGCGCCGCAAGGCAGGGGUUCGCCCACU
This 544-nucleotide ribosomal RNA is filed under the name uncultured Fomes. RNAcentral describes it as "eukaryotic LSU rRNA". It matches the Rfam family "Eukaryotic large subunit ribosomal RNA", at positions 82 to 607 of the family's 3401-position model. The record is from RNAcentral. Lineage: Eukaryota; Fungi; Basidiomycota; Agaricomycetes; Polyporales; Polyporaceae.